GGACAUGUUUCAUUGUCCUGCUCUUUGUGCCAGUGGAGAGCAGUGAUAUUUCUGAUGUGCCAGAUAAACAACGGAGGUUAAUUAGCAGUGUGAAAGCAUGCUGUCAUCACUGCCAGUCACCUUCUGACAUGU
Polyodon spathula (Mississippi paddlefish) is the source of this 132-nucleotide small nucleolar RNA. The record is from RefSeq and is a predicted model, not a curated record. NCBI's taxonomy places the organism in Eukaryota, Metazoa, Chordata, Actinopteri, Acipenseriformes, Polyodontidae.